GUCGGUGGCCGGCUGCGGCUCGUGCCUGGAGGGCAGCGCCCAGCAGAUGUACCAGAGCCUGGCCGAGCUGGGUACCCUGCCCCCCGAGACGAAGGUGUUCUGCGGCCACGAGCACACGCUCAGCAACCUGGAGUUUGCGCAGAAAGUGGAGCCCUGCAACGACCACGUGAGAGCCAAGCUGUCCUGGGCUAAGUAAGGUGGCCCAGACAUGACCUGAAACUCAGCCAUCCUGCAGCCAGGCCGGACCCCGAGGGACAGUGAGCCUCACUCCAUUUCCCAGCAAGCCUCCUGCCGGCUCUGCGGAUGUGUCCCUGGACAGGACGGGCCCUGGCUGUGACAGAAAAUGACACUGACCCGUUCCCAGCGUGCCUGCACUCCCUAACAGCCACGUCCAAUGGAGGAGAAGUGGCCUUCCCACGGCUCAGGCCCUCUCACUGCACACCAGCCGGGGAAAGGGAUGUCACAGGGGAACCAACCAGCCCCAGCCCCGGGUGAAAAUCCGCGUCCAGUCAGGCAGGAGGUGCCGCAGGGGACAUGGGCGCUCGAGGCCCAGGCACCACCAGGGCCGCCCU
RNAcentral lists this small RNA (572 nucleotides) under Pongo abelii (Sumatran orangutan). Its description in RNAcentral is "processed transcript". The record is from RNAcentral. Lineage: Eukaryota; Metazoa; Chordata; Mammalia; Primates; Hominidae.